Molecule: long non-coding RNA, 2107 nt
Organism: Hypanus sabinus (Atlantic stingray)
Lineage: Eukaryota; Metazoa; Chordata; Chondrichthyes; Myliobatiformes; Dasyatidae
Exons: 3
Source: RefSeq, a predicted model, not a curated record
GAUUUGCAUAAUUCAAGAUGGUGGCACAGAGCAGCAAACAGAGAAGAGUACAAGUUAUUUCGCUCACAUGACAAAGUCUGCAGAUGCUGGAACUCCAAAACAAUUCACACGAAAUGCUGGAGCAACUCAGCAGGGUUCUUUUGAAGAUCCUGACCUGGAGUUACACACAGAUUUCGGCUCUUUGCGGGAAUGGGACCCAUUCUCGGGGUUCCACGACUGGCUGUUAUUCGACAUGCCAGGGGCUUGGCCUGGGAGUCUCACUCGUGUUUGGAAGCCUGAGAUCACAGGGCUCCGGAGACGGGUAGAUCGAGGGUCAGUGUCACGGCAGGAAACUCAUGUGUCGUCAGGAGGUCAGGAAAUCUUUUGCUGUGGGCCUGAAGACCUGAGGUCUUUGCGAUCUUCAGAUGGAGAGCUCGAUAAAAGCGAUGAAGCGGACUUUUAAGAUCAUAAACCAGUGGGUUGUUGUUAUGUCUCCCGCUGGCUGUGAGAAUGGGGGACACUUCCCUCUCCCUUGCCAGGGAGAGAGAGAACCUGUGGUUUGUCAAAUAUUGGAUGAAAUGUGAAGCCUUUGGGGUAACUUUGGUCUGUGUCUUUGCUAUCGUUUAGCACACGGUUGGGUUCAGUGAUGGUACCGACACGUUUUGUUUUUUCUGGUGGGUGGGGGGGGGGUCAUUGCUUGCUGCCGCUUACACAUCGGUGGGGGAGACCUUGGGGUUCUCAUGUUUAAGUGUCGUUCAUUCUCGGGGGCACUUCUCUGUUUUCGUGGAUUUUUACAAAGAAAAAGCAUUUCAGGAUGUAUAUUGUAUACAUUUCUCUGACAUUAAAUUGGACAUUUGAACUUUUGAAAACCUACAGCCAGAUGUUGACCUAGAGGGGACCACAGAAGAAAAAAAUGGUAGCUUCAACUAUAGCGAGUCAAGAAAUGGAUAUUGUGAGUUCCUUGGAGAAGAUUAAGGAGAGCAAUGGUCUGUAAAUGGUAUGAUUUAUACCUUUACUGAAAGGGGAAAGCAUCGUUGUAUAUGUGAAUGUAUGUAUACAUGCCCAAUGUAGACAGAGUGCUAAAUAAGUUAGUCAGUUUCACGUGCUUAAGCUGUUCUCUUUGUCACUUUCUGUUCAACAUUACCCCCAUUAUUCACAGUCACGGUUAAGAAAGCUGCACAGACGCUAUAGCAGCGAGAAUUCCUUCCUUAGGAUGAUGUCCUGGGACCAUUGACAUAAUUCUGGGACAUCGCAUCCAAAGAACAAUUCAAUACUCCCUCAAGCACUGGAGUGACUGCAGAUCUCUGCAUUGCAGGCCUCUGGAGUAAGACUUGAACUCGCAACAUUCAGAUUCAGAGAUCAGAGUGACGUUCACAAAACCACAGCUGAAACAACGACAAUUGCUUAAUCAAGUCAACACGCAGCAGCUCACAUUUGAACACAGAACACAGAAAAGUACAGCACUGGAAAUGUCCCUUCAGCCCACAAUUUUGUGCUGAACUAAUUAAGCUAACAAACUUAAUCUUGUCUUUCCACACAUGGUCCAUGUUCUUGCAUUCAUAUUCAUUUGCUUCAAACUAAGACAUAGGAGUAGAAUUAGUCCACCUGCCCCAUCAAAUCUACUGCACCAUUUGAUCAUGGUUGUAUGUUGCCACUCAAUCCCAUUUGUCUGUCUUCUCCCCAUAACCUUUGAAAUACUACCAAUUAAAUACCUAUCAACCUCUGCUUUAAGAAUAAUCAAUGACUUGUUCUCCUCAGCCGUCUGUGCCAAUGAAUUCCACAGACUCACCACCGUCUGGCUGAAAAAACUCCUUCUCAUCUUCAUUCUAAAGGAACGUCCUUCUGUUCUGAGUGUGCAUCAGGGAUCAAGGAACUUUGUUCACCACAUACUUCCACAUGCAUUAGGAAUUCGCUGUGGUACGUUGGACAGAGAGCAACAUACAACAAAAAAAAACACCAUUCAACAAUUAUAAAGAAUGAAGGAUUAUGUAAACAAUAAAAUUAGAGGUUAAAGGGCAGAUAAAAUGUGAAUAAAUAAAUACCUGCAUGUAUUUACAACGUAAACAGUUUAGAAAAAAUAGUGAUAAAUAUAUCAAGAUGAACGCCUUUAAUAAGUGUAAAAAUGUAA